RNAcentral lists this long non-coding RNA (2027 nucleotides) under Vigna radiata. RNAcentral's name for it is "long non-coding RNA (VRAD_LNC011244)". The record is from RNAcentral. Lineage: Eukaryota; Viridiplantae; Streptophyta; Magnoliopsida; Fabales; Fabaceae.
CGGCAGUCACCCCUUGAAGCCACCACCGGCGACAUCGCCCCCUCUCCUCUUUUUCGUAGCAGCCUAGGGUUGGGGGGUGUGCCUCGCCAACGCUGUCUCUUCCAUCCGACGACCACCGCGUCGCUCUCACCUGCUCCAGUCUCAAUGUCGCACACUGUGGCCCUCCGCUGGCGGACAUCAACGACCAUAACAGCAAGAUCUCCCCCUUCACCCCUCAUCGCGCGAGAGAGAGGGAACGUUCUCCUCACUUGGUCACCGCACCAGCCAGGGUGCCACCGGCGUUAUUGGUCACUGCCAAGGCGAACGCCGACGUCAACGUCUUCCCUCCUCCCUCGUAUUCGUAGUCCGUCACCAAAGGGCCACGAUUUCAACUCAACUUACGCACCUUACGGAUUGGGGGAAGAUGGCUUGUGGGUGAAAAAUUUGAUGAAGAUAGAUUUGAGAAAUUGAAACAACAUUAAGACAUUGAAUUUGAUGUUGGCUAUUGGUUGCAGGUCACGAAUGGACUCUAAAUCAUAUUAGGGGCAGAGGUAUUUGACACUUUGUUUUGGUGUGUUUUGUUUUUUUGUUUGUUUCGUUGGGGGAAGAAUUAAAGGAAAAGGUGUUGUUGAUAUGGUUUCAGUGUGUAGGUUGAGGAUGAUGGUGUUGUUGGGUAGCAAUGGAGAUUACCAUUAUAGAAGGCAAAGAUGGCGGUGAUUAAACAAGCUACAGGUGACUUCAAUAUAAUUGUGCAUUGGAUAGUGAUAGAAAAUGUGAAAUAUUCAUGCCUCAAUAUCAUACACGAAUGUUCACAACAUAGUAAGAAAAUAUUCAAUAACAGUCAUAUGCAAACAUAGCAGCAAUGCAUCAAUAAUAUAUUCAUAGGCAAGCAACCAGUCUCACUAACACAUGGAGCGCAAGGCAUUACUUACCUCUUGAAGAUUCGAUUACUAUUACCAACCUUGUGUCUCCAACGUAUCUCUUCCUUUUUUCUGGCUAGCUACCUUCUCCCCUUCUCUUUUCUGUGAAUGAUGCCUCCUCUUCCCAGAAAUGGGUGAUGAUCCUUUGAUAGUGAAGAGAGCUUUUUCGUCCUCUGCCUUCAGUGAGAGUCAACCUUCUCGUUAUCAGAGUGAAUCCUCCCCAAAAUCACUCAUGCUUUGCUUUUUCUUUGCUUUAUCCCAGAAAUCCCCAUAACAAAAAUCGCCUCUGCCACCUCCCACCGAAUGAUAUUUUGACACCAAUUUUUUUACACCAUUUUGAUACGUGUGCAGUGUCAAAAUGUGGUUGGAGGAUUUCAAAUUAAAAAAAAAAAACUUUGGUUUUUUUCUUCCAAAUAUGUCUUUGUUUAAGCUUUUUUAAUUUGAAAUCGUCCAACCACGUUUUGACAUGUGUGUAGUGUCAGGAUAGUGUCAAAAUUUGGUGCCAAAAUAUCAUUUUCUCCUCCCAAAACCUUGCGCCCUCUUUUUUUCUUUUCCUUUUUUCUUGUUUUUUAUUUCAUUUUUCUUUUUUUUCUUUUCUUUUUUCGUUUUUUUUUCUUUUUUUCUUUUUUUUUUCUUUCUUUAUUAAAAGAAUAUAGAAAAAUGAAAUUAAAUCCAAUAAUAAAAAAACUAAAUCAAAUACUAAGUAGUAAAACAAAAAUUAAAAAUAAGGUUUAAUACAUCAUUUGGUCCCUUCAUUUGGGGCUUUUGUUCAAAAUGAUUUCACCUUCGGAAAAAAAUAUUUAGGUAGAAUAUUUCAUUAAAAGUUGUUUAAAAUAGUUCUUUUGGCAGACGACGUUAAAUUCUUAACGGUGCAGAUGCUAGCGUGACAAACUUUUAUCCAGCUGUUUAAAACUUAUCUGACGUGGCUUUUUGAAGACAUUUUAAUGUUUUAAAAUUGAGGAUUAAAAUGAAAUGAAAAAAUUAGGCUAAUUAAAAAAGCCCUAACCCUUAUCUGAUAACGCCAUUUUUGUCGCGAUUUCUCAUAACGCCAUUGUUGUUCAUUUCUGGUGAUUUCUGCUAACGCCAUUGCUGAUUGAUUGAAGGUGGAAGUUCAACAUCGCACNNNNN